UACGGAGGAUGCAAGCGUUAAUCGGAAUUACUGGGCGUAAAGCGUGCGUAGGCGGCUUUUUAAGUCGGAUGUGAAAUCCCUGAGCUUAACUUAGGAAUUGCAUUCGAUACUGGGAAGCUAGAGUAUGGGAGAGGAUGGUAGAAUUCCCAGUGUAGAGGUGAAAUUCGUAGAUAUCAGGAGGAACACCAGUGGCGAAGGCGAUUCUCUGGACUGUAACUGACGCUGAGGCUCGAAAGCAUGGGGAGCAAACAGG
This 253-nucleotide ribosomal RNA is filed under the name uncultured bacterium. Its description in RNAcentral is "partial 16S ribosomal RNA". It matches the Rfam family "Bacterial small subunit ribosomal RNA", at positions 524 to 776 of the family's 1533-position model. The record is from RNAcentral.